This 433-nucleotide ribosomal RNA is filed under the name uncultured bacterium. RNAcentral's name for it is "bacterial SSU rRNA". It matches the Rfam family "Bacterial small subunit ribosomal RNA", at positions 32 to 497 of the family's 1533-position model. The record is from RNAcentral.
AACGCUGGCGGCGUGCCUAACACAUGCAAGUCGAACGAGAAAGUGGAGCAAUCCAUGAGUAAAGUGGCGACCGGGUGAGUAACACGUGACUAACCUACCUCCGAGUGGGGAAUAACUCCGGGAAACCGGGGCUAAUACCGCAUAACAUCGCAAGAUCAAAGCAGCAAUGCGCUUGGAGAGGGGGUCGCGGCUGAUUAGCUAGUUGGCGGGGUAACGGCCCACCAAGGCGAAGAUCGGUAUCCGGCCUGAGAGGGCGCACGGACACACUGGAACUGAAACACGGUCCAGACUCCUACGGGAGGCAGCAGUGGGGAAUUUUGCGCAAUGGGGGAAACCCUGACGCAGCAACGCCGCGUGGAGGAUGAAGUCCCUUGAGACGUAAACUCCUUUCGACCAAGACGAUAAUGACGGUACUGGUGGAAGAAGCACCGGC